GAACCAGCCAAGUCGCGUGAGGGAUGACGGUCCUAUGGAUUGUAAACCUCUUUUGUCAGGGAGCAAAGGGCGCCACGUGUGGCGCUUUGCGAGUACCUGAAGAAAAAGCAUCGGCUAACUCCGUGCCAGCAGCCGCGGUAAUACGGAGGAUGCGAGCGUUAUCCGGAUUUAUUGGGUUUAAAGGGUGCGCAGGCGGAAUGUCAAGUCAGCGGUAAAAUUUCGGGGCUCAACCCCGUCGUGCCGUUGAAACUGGCGUUCUUGAGUGAGCGAGAAGUAUGCGGAAUGCGUGGUGUAGCGGUGAAAUGCAUAGAUAUCACGCAGAACUCCGAUUGCGAAGGCAGCAUACCGGCGCUCAACUGACGCUCAUGCACGAAAGCGUGGGUAUCGAACAGGAUUAGAUACCCUGGUAGUCCACGCAGUAAACGAUGAAUACUAACUGUCCGGGCAGAAUGAUGCCUGG
RNAcentral lists this ribosomal RNA (460 nucleotides) under uncultured bacterium. Its description in RNAcentral is "bacterial SSU rRNA". It matches the Rfam family "Bacterial small subunit ribosomal RNA", at positions 385 to 842 of the family's 1533-position model. The record is from RNAcentral.